This 112-nucleotide non-coding RNA is filed under the name Brevibacillus laterosporus. Its description in RNAcentral is "TPP sequence". It matches the Rfam family "TPP riboswitch aptamer (THI element)". From Rfam's summary of the family: Vitamin B(1) in its active form thiamin pyrophosphate (TPP) is an essential coenzyme that is synthesised by coupling of pyrimidine and thiazole moieties in bacteria. The previously detected thiamin-regulatory element, thi box was extended, resulting in a new, highly conserved RNA secondary structure, the THI element, which is widely distributed in eubacteria and also occurs in some archaea. Lineage: Bacteria; Bacillati; Bacillota; Bacilli; Caryophanales; Paenibacillaceae. RNAcentral also lists the same sequence under 1 other name. The record is from RNAcentral.
UUGAUCUACUGGGGGAGUCCUAACUUGCAGGGCUGAGAGGACAGAGCGUGUCUGUUGACCCUUUUUACCUGAUCCAGGUCAUGCUGGCGAAGGGAAGUGGUUAGAUUUGGUG